Molecule: non-coding RNA, 98 nt
Filed under: unclassified sequences
Description: DUF3800-V RNA
Rfam family: DUF3800-V RNA
Source: Rfam by way of RNAcentral
AUUCAUGAGCGGUAAGACCGUUACAGAUUUCCAAGGUGUUCCCUCCCAUCGGUAGGCCACAGCUUUGGUGAAACAAAUCCGUAGGGCACGCUCUUUUU